This 465-nucleotide ribosomal RNA is filed under the name Vreelandella stevensii. RNAcentral describes it as "partial 16S ribosomal RNA". It matches the Rfam family "Bacterial small subunit ribosomal RNA", at positions 338 to 795 of the family's 1533-position model. The record is from RNAcentral. Lineage: Bacteria; Pseudomonadati; Pseudomonadota; Gammaproteobacteria; Oceanospirillales; Halomonadaceae.
CCUACGGGUGGCUGCAGUGGGGAAUAUUGGACAAUGGGCGAAAGCCUGAUCCAGCCAUGCCGCGUGUGUGAAGAAGGCCUUCGGGUUGUAAAGCACUUUCAGUGGGGAAGAAAGCCUUGGGGCUAAUACCCUCGAGGAAGGACAUCACCCACAGAAGAAGCACCGGCUAACUCCGUGCCAGCAGCCGCGGUAAUACGGAGGGUGCGAGCGUUAAUCGGAAUUACUGGGCGUAAAGCGCGCGUAGGCGGUCUGAUAAGCCGGUUGUGAAAGCCCCGGGCUCAACCUGGGAACGGCAUCCGGAACUGUCAGGCUAGAGUACAGGAGAGGAAGGUAGAAUUCCCGGUGUAGCGGUGAAAUGCGUAGAGAUCGGGAGGAAUACCAGUGGCGAAGGCGGCCUUCUGGACUGACACUGACGCUGAGGUGCGAAAGCGUGGGUAGCAAACAGGAUUAGAUACCCUGGUAGUC